RNAcentral lists this ribosomal RNA (253 nucleotides) under uncultured bacterium. RNAcentral describes it as "partial 16S ribosomal RNA". It matches the Rfam family "Bacterial small subunit ribosomal RNA", at positions 524 to 776 of the family's 1533-position model. The record is from RNAcentral.
UACAGAGGGUGCAAGCGUUAAUCGGAAUUACUGGGCGUAAAGCGUGCGUAGGUGGUUUGUUAAGUCAAGUGUGAAAUCCCGGGGCUCAACCCCGGAACUGCAUUUGAUACUGGCGGACUAGAGUGCGGUAGAGGAUGGUGGAGUUCCCGGUGUAGCGGUGAAAUGCGUAGAUAUCGGGAGGAACAUCAGUGGCGAAGGCGGCCAUCUGGACUGACACUGACACUGAGACGCGAAAGCGUGGGUAGCAAACAGG